AUGAACGCUGGCGGCGUGCCUAAUACAUGCAAGUCGAGCGAACAGAUGAGGAGCUUGCUCCUCUGACGUUAGCGGCGGACGGGUGAGUAACACGUGGAUAACCUACCUAUAAGACUGGGAUAACUUCGGGAAACCGGAGCUAAUACCGGAUAAUAUAUUGAACCGCAUGGUUCAAUAGUGAAAGACGGUUUUGCUGUCACUUAUAGAUGGAUCCGCGCCGCAUUAGCUAGUUGGUAAGGUAACGGCUUACCAAGGCGACGAUGCGUAGCCGACCUGAGAGGGUGAUCGGCCACACUGGAACUGAGACACGGUCCAGACUCCUACGGGAGGCGGCAGUAGGGAAUCUUCCGCAAUGGGCGAAAGCCUGACGGAGCAACGCCGCGUGAGUGAUGAAGGUCUUCGGAUCGUAAAACUCUGUUAUUAGGGACGAACAAAUGUGUAAGUAACUAUGCACGUCUUGACGGUACCUAAUCAGAAAGCCACGGCUAACUACGUG
Molecule: ribosomal RNA, 496 nt
Filed under: uncultured bacterium
Lineage: Bacteria
Description: partial 16S ribosomal RNA
Rfam family: Bacterial small subunit ribosomal RNA
Source: RNAcentral